Long non-coding RNA from Telopea speciosissima, 408 nucleotides. RefSeq lists it as uncharacterized. The record is from RefSeq and is a predicted model, not a curated record. The transcript has 2 exons. Lineage: Eukaryota; Viridiplantae; Streptophyta; Magnoliopsida; Proteales; Proteaceae.
UGAAGAGCUCCUCCCCUCACUAGCACCAAGAAAAUCAGUCUUCUAAACUUUUUACAGGGUUGCCCAGCUCCUUUGCAGGCAAAGAUUUAAAGAUUGGGAUCCAGGAUGGAUCAGUCUCCACUGAUCUUGAUCAAUAGACACACACACAUACCCUCCAGUCCCCUCAUUAACACCAUGAAAAUAAGUUUUCUAGCUUUUUACAGGGUUGCCUACCUCCAUCGCAGGCAAGGAUUUAGAGAUGCAGUUUUUUGCGACAAUAAAAGCUUGGUUACCAGUGUGAAAACACAGGUUUGAGUCUGAGGGUGACCAAUUUGUGCAAUGUAUAAACAGGUCAGGGCCGAUUAUCGUCUGACCCCCCUCACGGUGCCCCUGCGAAAGUGGGACUUGCACUAGGUUUAGAGAGGGAGA